RNAcentral lists this ribosomal RNA (426 nucleotides) under uncultured bacterium. Its description in RNAcentral is "bacterial SSU rRNA". It matches the Rfam family "Bacterial small subunit ribosomal RNA", at positions 75 to 501 of the family's 1533-position model. The record is from RNAcentral.
AGUCUUCGGAUGUUGAGACCGGCGCACGGGUGCGUAACGCGUAUGCAAUCUACCUUUUGCAGGGGAAUAGCCCAGAGAAAUUUGGAUUAAUGCCCCAUAGUAUAAUGAUAAGGCAUCUUAUUAUUAUUAAAGUCACAACGGCAAAAGAUGAGCAUGCGUCCCAUUAGCUAGUUGGUAAGGUAACGGCUUACCAAGGCAAUGAUGGGUAGGGGUCCUGAGAGGGAGAUCCCCCACACUGGUACUGAGACACGGACCAGACUCCUACGGGAGGCAGCAGUGAGGAAUAUUGGACAAUGGGCGCAAGCCUGAUCCAGCCAUGCCGCGUGCAGGAAGACGGUCCUAUGGAUUGUAAACUGCUUUUAUACAGGAAGAAACACUCCCUCGUGAGGGAACUUGACGGUACUGUAAGAAUAAGGAUCGGCUAAC